ACAAGGUAGGGUAUCACAAAAGGGUUGUUUAGGGUGGGGAGGAGUAGGCUGGCAGUAGAAUGGUGGGCAGGUGGGGGAUAGUAGGAAUGGGGAGUAGCCUGCUGCAGAGGCAAAGCCUCAUGGAAAACCUCUACUAGGGUAGUGCACCUGUGGCUUUGCAGGGUUGAGCCCCUGCAGCUGCUUUCAUGGGCUGGGUUGGUGUUGAGGUUUGGAAAAGCCUGUAGCUUUUCCACAGAGGGUGUGAGCUGCUGGUGAGUCUAUGAAUCUGGGGUCUGGAUGGUGGUGGCCCUCUGCGUGGGGGCUCCAAGCCCACUUUUUCCUUCCACACAGCACUAGUAGAGGUUUUCCAAGAGGUUCUGCCUCUGCAGCAGGCUUCUGUUUGGAAACAGUGGGAGGUGGGGGUGGGUGGUUGUUUCUUCAUCAAUAUUUAAGCACCAUCUUCAUAAUGCUGACCUUGUAAUAGUGAGUUCUCAUAAGAUUUGGUUGUAUAAUAGGGUAUAGUCCUCUUUCCUCUCUGUCUUGCACCUACUCCUGCCACAUGAAUCAUCUCAUUGCCCCUGGACAUUCUGGCAUGAUUGGGAGGCUUCCUGAGUCCUCCCAGAUUCAGAAGCCACUGUGUUUCCUUACAGCCUGCAGAAUCAUGAGCCAAUUAAACCUCUUUUCUUUAUGAUCAUAGAGAAAAUUAGUGGUGCAAAGUGGAACUAUUAAAUGUCAUUGUCUUGGCAAUCAGCACUCAGCUUCUUUUCAUUCAAGUAUGUGAAGGCUUCAUGAAUUUUCCCCCUGAAAAUGGACUUGUCUUCCUUUACCACAUUGCCAGGCUGUGGCAAAGAUAGUGAUAAUGUAGAAGCAGGUUCAGAAGGGAGUAGCGGACAGAGGUCGGGAGAGUUUGGAGGGCUUCAAAGACAAGAAGAUGAAUGAAAGUUUGGAUCUUUGUAAAGAAUUGUUAAACACUUGUGAUCAGAAGGCUCACAGGAAAAUGGUCAGUGAAAACCCGACUUAGAAGGUCUCAGAUGAAAAUGAAGCACUUACUGGGAACAGAAGUCAAAGUUACUUUUGUUUCCUUAGCAAAGAACGUGGCUGCAUGGUGACUCGCCCUGGAGAUCUCUGAAACUUUGAACUUGAGGGUGAUGAUUUACUGAGUAUCUGGUGGAAUGAACUGGGCAGCAAAGCUCAAGAGGUGUCCUGUCUCCAUCGAACAGCCUGUGCUCUUAUGUGUGAUAGAGGAAAUGACCUCUGGGUGGGACUUACAUUAAAUGAGUCCCAACCCUUAUAUUAAAUGAGAAACAGAAGUCAAAAGUUUGGCAAAUUUGCAGCCCGGACAUGUGGUCAAAAAGAAAAGCUGAUUUUCAGGGGGAAAAUUGAGGAAGGCUUCAGAAACUUGCUUGAAAAGGAGUCCAGUGCUAAUAGACAAGACAAUAGGGAAAAGGCCUUGAAGGCAUUUCAGAGACCUUUCCAGCAGCCCUUGCUGUUAGAGGGAAUGACUGGCCUUCUGGGUUUGGAGUUUCAUGGGGCCGGUAAGUCCUAUCUGUGUUUUGUUGUUUUCUGGCAACAUUCUUCCUUUUGGCUGGGAAUGUUUACCCAAUGUGUGUACAAGCAUUGUACCUUUGCUCUGUGAGAAGGUCAUGAGUCUGUGGGGAUCAGGGUCAGAAUAAUAUGAUUUGGCUGUGUUUCUUUACCAAAACUCGUGUGAAUUGUAAUCCUUAGUGUUGGAGGUGGGGCCUGGCUGGAGGUGAUUUAAUCAUGGAUGGGAGGGGGCCGGAGGUGGAAGGAAAAGGGGGGUAGGGUGAGGAGUAGAUUGUUAGUAGGGUGGUGAGAGGGUGGUGGGUAGCAGGAAGGGGGAGUAGCCUGCUGCAGAGGCAGAGGCUCAUGGAAAAAUUAAAAGAGUGACUGAAGGAUGGACAGUGAAGGCCAGGCUUAGAAGGUCUCAGAUGAAAAUGAGCAACUUACUGGGAACAGGAGUCAAGGUUACUUUUGUUUUGCCUUAGCAAAGAACUUGGCUGGAUGGUGUCCCUGCCCUGGAGACCUCUGAAACUUUGAACUUGGGGGUGAUGAUUUAGGGUAUAUCUGGUGAAAUGAAGUAGGCAGCAAAGCUCAAGAGGUGUUUUGUCUGUUUUGAACAGCCUGUGGUCUUCUGUGUGACUAUAUAUAAAUGACCUCAAGUUGAAAGUUAUAUUUAAAUGAGAAGCAGGGCUUAAAAGUUUGGAAAAUUUGCAGCCUGGCCAAGUGGUCAAAAAGAAAAGCUGAUUUUCAGUGGGAAAAUUCAAGAAGGCUUCAGAAAUUUUCAUAAAAUGGAGCCCAGUGCUAAUAGCUAAGACAAUGUUUAAAAGGCCUUGAAGCCAUUUCAGAGACCUUUGCAGCAGAGCUUGCUGUCAGAGUCCCCGAGUUCUAGGACCCAAGAAUGCUUUCCUGGGUCAGUCCCAUGGGCGCGCUGCUGUAUCCGUCCUCAGGACACUGCUGCCUGCAUCCCUGCAGCUCCAGCUCCAGCUCCAGCUCCAGCCAUCGCUGAAAGAUGCACAGGUACAGCUUGCAUCACCGCUUCAGGUGUGCAAGCUUCAAACCUUGGUGGCUUCCACAUAGCCAGCAGGUGCACAGAGCACAAAACUAGAGGCUUUGGAGCCUUUGUCUAGACUCCAGAGUAUGUACGGGAACACCUGGGUGUUCAGGCAGAAGCUUUUCUAAGAGGCAGAGCCUCAUGGGAAACCUUUACUGGGGCAGUACAGAAGGAACAUAUAGGGUUGGAGCCCCCAAACAGGAAUGCACCAUUUUCCAGACCCCAGAUUCAUGGACCCACCAACUGCUGGCACCCUCAGUGUGGAAAAGCCACAGGCACCCAACACCAGCCCAGCCCAUGAGGGCACCUGUGGGGGAUAGACCC
Molecule: long non-coding RNA, 2875 nt
Filed under: Homo sapiens (human)
Lineage: Eukaryota; Metazoa; Chordata; Mammalia; Primates; Hominidae
Description: non-protein coding lnc-ANKRD30B-12:1
Source: RNAcentral